UUGGGGGUUAUCCCGGCUAGAAGAAGCCCCCGGCGUAAUCCCCGGUACCCCAACCACCCGCGGGUAAAUUGCGGAGGGGGGGCCAGGGGUUAAUCGGGAAUUUCUUGGGGGUGAAAGCCCCUGCCCAGGCCGGUCUGUCAAGGUCGGAUUGUGAUAAUACCCGAGCUCUCACCGCGGAGUGUGCAGUGGAUGGCUUCAGGCUAGAGUCUAGUACACGGUGGUAUGACUCCAGGCGGAGCGGUGUCUCGCGUCUGUCCCUCGAGGAAUCCCGGUGGCGAAGGCGGCCCCCUGGACUAAGACUGGCGUUCAGGUGCGAUAGCGUGGGGAGCAACCAGGAUUAGAUACCCUGGUAGUCCUCGCCGUAAACGAUGUACACUCGGAGGUUGUGCCCUUGAGGCGUGGCUUCCGGAACUAACGCGUUAAGUCGAUCGCCUGGGGAGUACGGCCGCAAGGUUAAAACUCAAAUGAAUUGCCGGGGGCCCGCACAAGCGGUGGAGCAUGUGGUUUAAUUCGAUGCAACGCGAAGAACCUUACCUACUCUUGACAUCCAGAGAACUUUCCAGAGAUGGAUUGGUGCCUUCGGGAACUUUGAGACAGGUGCUGCAUGGCUGUCGUCAGCUCGUGUUGUGAAAUGUUGGGUUAAGUCCCGCAACGAGCGCAACCCUUAUCCUUUGUUGCCAGCGGUUCGGCCGGGAACUCAAAGGAGACUGCCAGUGAUAAACUGGAGGAAGGUGGGGAUGACGUCAAGUCAUCAUGGCCCUUACGAGUAGGGCUACACACGUGCUACAAUGGCGCAUACAAAGAGAAGCGACCUCGCGAGAGCAAGCGGACCUCAUAAAGUGCGUCGUAGUCCGGAUUGGAGUCUGCAACUUGACUCCAUGAAGUCGGAAUCGCUAGUAAUCGUGGAUCAGAAUGCCACGGUGAAUACGUUCCCGGGCCUUGUACACCCCGCCCGUCACCCCAUGGGAGUGGGUUGCUAAAAGAAGUAGGUAGCUUAACCUUCGGGGAAGCCCCCUAACCCCCA
RNAcentral lists this ribosomal RNA (1024 nucleotides) under Enterobacter cloacae. Its description in RNAcentral is "bacterial SSU rRNA". It matches the Rfam family "Bacterial small subunit ribosomal RNA". Lineage: Bacteria; Pseudomonadati; Pseudomonadota; Gammaproteobacteria; Enterobacterales; Enterobacteriaceae. The record is from RNAcentral.